This is a long non-coding RNA of Homo sapiens (human), 941 nucleotides long. RefSeq lists it as uncharacterized. The record is from RefSeq and is a predicted model, not a curated record. NCBI's taxonomy places the organism in Eukaryota, Metazoa, Chordata, Mammalia, Primates, Hominidae. The transcript has 2 exons.
AGCGCGAACGAGCUCUGGAGAGACAGUGGCUGCGAGAAUAUUGAAAUUUGUGAAUAUCUUCUGGCUCCUAAUUUUGCACCCCUGGCAAUUAUGCAGAAGAUGAUCAGAAAUGGAAAAAGAGCAGGAGGGUACCCAGGGCUUUGUGAAUAGGUAUUAACAACUGGUUUGUUGUUACUGGGUUUUUUGUUUGUUUGUUUUUUUAAGGAAACCAGAAUGUAUCUAUUUUAAGCUCUCCUUCCCUAUAGUUAUCUUGUCUUGCUGCAUUAUCCACUUAAUUUAUCAUUGUUGGCCAGGCGCGGUGGCUCACGCCUGUAAUCCCAGAACUUUGGGAGGCUGAGGCGGGCAGAUCACGAGGUCAGGAGAUCGAGACUAUCCUGGCUAACAUGGUGAAACCCCAUCUCUACUAAAAAUACAAAAAUUAGCCAGACAUGGUGGUGAGUGCCUGUAGUCCCAGCUACUCGGGAGGUUGAGGCAGGAGAAUGUCAUGAACCCGGGAGGUGGAGGUUGCAGUGAGCCGAGAUCGUGCCACUGCACUCCAGCCUGGGUGGACAGAGCGAGGCUCCAUCUCGAAAAAAAAAAAUUAUCAUUGUUGUUGACAAUAAAUGUUUUUGGAAGUAAUUUGGAACUGUUGGUUUGCAAAUCACAUAAUAAAAGCCCUCACUUUACUGUAGAGUCACACUUAACAUUAGACAAAACUAUAUAUCUAGAUUGAUAACUAGACCGAACUAGGUGGCUUUUGGCCAUUGCUACAAAUUAAAUCCAACCUGGAAAAAAUAUUCAGGCUGUAAAGGCAGUUCCAAAAGCUGUCUCCAAAAAUCGUUUGGGACAACAAUGUCUCAUUCUUUUUGUCUUCCAUGGUGCUUUGCCUAACUCCUCGAAGAUAGCUCAAACUCAGAAAAUGUUUAUCUGGUUGAGUCACUUUAAUAAAAAUAGUCUUGUUA